Molecule: long non-coding RNA, 1519 nt
Filed under: Malus domestica (apple)
Lineage: Eukaryota; Viridiplantae; Streptophyta; Magnoliopsida; Rosales; Rosaceae
Description: long non-coding RNA (MDOM_LNC020622)
Source: RNAcentral
UUUUUUUUAUUUUAUUUUCUUUUUUCGUUGGGGAUAACAUUCCGCCACACUUGUUUUUCUGCAAUACUGUUGCUCAAAAGGAAUUCCCUCUAAGUCAUGCUCCACUAUACUUUAAGAACAAGGGUAUGGAUAGUUCUAUUCUUGGCUAGGUAGGGAUAAUGUGGCUAACAAAGAAAAUAGGCUAAAUAAGGCUCAAAGGGGUUAAACCUACAAAACAUAUGCAAGGGAUUAAGGCUUUUUGGCUCUGGUGGUAACUACUAAACAACUUGAUCUUGUUAUAUGUUAUGCACUCAAUUUUAAGCUUUGAAUGAGACGGGCAUGAGUUCUAGUAUUUAGAACUAUAAUGAUGAAAACGCAUUCUAAGUAGCAACCAAGCAAAGAAACAAUGAGAUCAUGCAACGACUUUAGAAAACAUGUUACAAAAGCUUUAGUUUGUAGCUUUAGUUUGAGUUCCUUCCUUCAAGCAUGUUACAAAAGCUUUAGUUUGAGUUCCUUCCUCCAAUCAAAGUUUAGGCUCAAGUCUCUCAAGGUUGUAGCUUUAGUUUGAGUUCCUUCCUUCAAGCAUGUUACAAAAGCUUAUUUUUUUUCCUUUGUGAUUACAUGUGAAUUCGUAAACAUCAACUACAACCAAGUAUUAACCAAAAAGUAUAUCAAAGUUCCAUCCAUGUUUGUAACUUUCUUUAACAGUCAUGGAAUUAACAACCAAAUCCUCAUCAUUGUGUUGGAAGGUACCCUAAGACACAAACAAACACACAAAAAUGACUCUGUUUGGUUUUUUCAAUACUUUUUCUAAUUUUUUUUUUCAAAUUUUCGUAUUUUUCUUUCAAAACACACUAAAACACUUCAAAACACACUAAAAACACUUAAACAGUAAAAAACAACUAUAGAAGUGAUAGGUGGUAAAAUACCACGAAAAUCAAUGAAAAACACUUUGUUUACCCCUCCACACUUAAACCAAACAUUGUCCUCAAUGUUUUAAACAAAGUCUUACACUCCAACCAUCAAAACAACACAACGAACAAACACAACUAUCAUGGCAAAGUAUAAGCAAUAAAGAGUAGGGUUUAGGAACGCAAAUCUGCUUAUGAAGCGAUUCCUAGGUCUUCCUUAUUUGAAUACAUGGGUUGCCUCCCAAGAAGCACUUGCUUUAACAUCUUCCAGCCGGACGAUACCUCUUUUUAAGCUUCAUUGGAGCCCAUGGCAUUGAGGGGUAUUUCCUCCACCACAUGCUCCUCGAAAUUCCCCUGAUUUGGCUCAAUGAAUUGAAGGGGAUAGUAAUCCUUCCUGAUUGUGGUGUUGAGCUUCCUAAAAUCAAUGUAAUUAUUCCCACCAGCUUGGAUUCAAUUGGGGACCUGCACCAUACAAGGUAACAACCUAUUAUUUGAAAUGGGAAUUGGAAUUGGACUAGAUGGCUCACCAAUAUAUUGCAACGAAGGCUCAAAAGUAACAACUGUUGGAAAUAUGCCCUGAAAGUCAAUCUUUGGAAGAAACCUUUCAGGACAAAUGAAUCGAUGUAUGG